Small nucleolar RNA from Pteropus vampyrus (large flying fox), 65 nucleotides. Ensembl annotates it as small nucleolar RNA, C/D box 48. Its record names the gene SNORD48. The record is from Ensembl. NCBI's taxonomy places the organism in Eukaryota, Metazoa, Chordata, Mammalia, Chiroptera, Pteropodidae.
GGUGAUGAUGACUCCAGGUGACUCACUGAGUGUCUCGCUGACGCCAUCACCGCAGCGCGCUGACC